This 203-nucleotide ribozyme is filed under the name Anopheles sinensis. RNAcentral's name for it is "drz-agam-2-2 ribozyme". It matches the Rfam family "drz-agam-2-2 ribozyme". The record is from Rfam by way of RNAcentral. Lineage: Eukaryota; Metazoa; Arthropoda; Insecta; Diptera; Culicidae.
UACAAAUCUCCGCAUAUUGAAGGGAUUAGAUACAAAUACUCGUACACUUACUAAAGACAUCAUUCAAUUUUAUUUCAAUUCAGUUUUUGUUUCAAUUUCUGAAAAAAAACCAAAGUGGUGCCUGUCGCCUAAAUAUCCAAGCUUGGGUAGACGGGGAAACCCACCCCCUUGGGCGAAUGGGUGGCAUGGCCGAAUUGAGACGG